RNAcentral lists this ribosomal RNA (234 nucleotides) under uncultured bacterium. RNAcentral describes it as "partial 16S ribosomal RNA". It matches the Rfam family "Bacterial small subunit ribosomal RNA", at positions 82 to 334 of the family's 1533-position model. The record is from RNAcentral.
CACCUUCGGGUGAGCGGCGGACGGGUGAGUAACGCGUGGGAACGUGCCCUUGGUACGGGAUAACUGAGGGAAACUUCAGCUAAUACCGUAUGUGCCCUUCGGGGGAAAGAUUUAUCGCCAUUGGAGCGGCCCGCGUUGGAUUAGGUAGUUGGUGAGGUAAAGGCUCACCAAGCCUACGAUCCAUAGCUGGUCUGAGAGGAUGACCAGCCACACUGGGACUGAGACACGGCCCAG